AAUCUUCCACAAUGGACGAAAGGCUGAUGGAGCAACGCCGCGUGAGCGAAGAAGGUUNNNGGAUCNUAAAGCACUGUUGCGAGNGAANAACAAGUACGGGAGUGACUGCCCGUACCUUGACGGUACUUCGUCAGAGAGCCACGGCUAACUACGUGCCAGCAGCCGCGGUAAUACGUAGGUGGCAAGCGUGGUCCGGAAUUAUUUGGCGUAAAGCGCGCGCAGGCGGUCCGUUAAGUCUGAUGUGAAAGCCCACGGCUCAACCGUGGAAGGUCAUUGGAAACUGGAAGACUUGAGUACAGAAGAGGAAAGCGGAAUUCCACGUGUAGCGGUGAAAUGCGUAGAGAUGUGGAGGAACACCAGUGGCGAAGGCGGCUUUCUGGUCUGUAACUGACGCUGAGGCGCGAAAGCGUGGGGAGCAAACA
This 422-nucleotide ribosomal RNA is filed under the name uncultured bacterium. RNAcentral's name for it is "partial 16S ribosomal RNA". It matches the Rfam family "Bacterial small subunit ribosomal RNA", at positions 360 to 774 of the family's 1533-position model. The record is from RNAcentral.